GUUCCUGGGGAGCUCGGCUGUGAAAUCCGCUAGGCAUUGGGAUUUAAUGGCACCCCUCGGUUCGUACUUGAUGUCGAACUCUGAAAGCUCGACCGACCACCCUAUCAUUCGUCCUGCAAGAUCGGGUUUAGACAAAAUUUUGUAUAUGGGAUAGUUGGUCCUUACCCUGAUUUCGUGGUUCUGGAAGUAUGGGCGCAUUCUCCUUGCUGUCAGCACCAGGGCCAGUGCCACCUUCU
This 236-nucleotide long non-coding RNA is filed under the name Phaseolus vulgaris (common bean). Its description in RNAcentral is "long non-coding RNA (PVUL_LNC001118)". The record is from RNAcentral. Lineage: Eukaryota; Viridiplantae; Streptophyta; Magnoliopsida; Fabales; Fabaceae.